UACGUAGGGUGCGAGCGUUGUCCGGAAUUAUUGGGCGUAAAGUGCUCGUAGGCGGUCUGUCGCGUCGGGAGUGAAAACUCAGGGCUUAACCCUGAGCCUGCUUCCGAUACGGGCAGACUAGAGGUAUGCAGGGGAGAACGGAAUUCCUGGUGUAGCGGUGAAAUGCGCAGAUAUCAGGAGGAACACCAGUGGCGAAGGCGGUUCUCUGGGCAUUACCUGACGCUGAGGAGCGAAAGUGUGGGGAGCGAACAGG
Molecule: ribosomal RNA, 253 nt
Filed under: uncultured bacterium
Lineage: Bacteria
Description: partial 16S ribosomal RNA
Rfam family: Bacterial small subunit ribosomal RNA
Source: RNAcentral